UAUACUUAGUAUAUUUUUUAAAAAAUCAAUGGAAAACACUAAUUGCAAAAGAAAAUGUUUUUCUCACAUAGGAACUUACUAUAUUUUGCCACUAUUUUACUAAAAUUCAGAUUUCCCAUUUUUUAUUAUAGAAUUUUGAAUAAUUCCCUGCAAAUUUUGUCAUCUAUGCCAGCAUUCAUCGCAUACUCUUAAAGGGAGUUGAAACAUCCAGAACCAUCUUAGAAAUCACACGUUCAAGACAAGAAAGUCUUUAUCUUCCUGAUUUCCUGGAUCAAUACAUAUGUAGCAUGAUCUGGCUGACAUACAAACUCACCAAGAUCUGUAAUAGAAGAAAUAAAAUUCUAUCAUAUUUGA
Suricata suricatta (meerkat) is the source of this 354-nucleotide long non-coding RNA. RefSeq lists it as uncharacterized. The record is from RefSeq and is a predicted model, not a curated record. NCBI's taxonomy places the organism in Eukaryota, Metazoa, Chordata, Mammalia, Carnivora, Herpestidae. The transcript has 2 exons.